This 552-nucleotide ribosomal RNA is filed under the name uncultured Alphaproteobacteria bacterium. RNAcentral describes it as "bacterial SSU rRNA". It matches the Rfam family "Bacterial small subunit ribosomal RNA", at positions 955 to 1500 of the family's 1533-position model. The record is from RNAcentral. Lineage: Bacteria; Pseudomonadati; Pseudomonadota; Alphaproteobacteria.
AGCAACGCGCAGAACCUUACCAGCUCUUGACAUGUCACGUAUGAAUUCCGGAGACGGAUUUCUUCAGUUCGGCUGGCGUGAACACAGGUGCUGCAUGGCUGUCGUCAGCUCGUGUCGUGAGAUGUUGGGUUAAGUCCCGCAACGAGCGCAACCCUCGCCUUUAGUUGCCAUCAUUAAGUUGGGCACUCUAGAGGGACUGCCGGUGAUAAGCCGAGAGGAAGGUGGGGAUGACGUCAAGUCCUCAUGGCCCUUACGGGCUGGGCUACACACGUGCUACAAUGGCGGUGACAGUGGGCAGCUACUUCGCGAGGAGAAGCUAAUCCCAAAAAGCCGUCUCAGUUCGGAUUGCACUCUGCAACUCGAGUGCAUGAAGUUGGAAUCGCUAGUAAUCGUGGAUCAGCAUGCCACGGUGAAUACGUUCCCGGGCCUUGUACACACCGCCCGUCACACCAUGGGAGUUGGUUUUACCCGAAGGCGUUGCGCUAACCCAGCAAUGGGAGGCAGGCGACCACGGUAGGGUCAGCGACUGGGGUGAAGUCGUAACAAGGUAGC